AAGAGCCGUAUGAAUCGAGAGGUUCAUGUAUGGUUUCGUGAGCAACUGAAGGGGACGGUUCCCUCCGGUUGACUUGAC
This 78-nucleotide non-coding RNA is filed under the name Nitrosomonas sp. Nm34. Lineage: Bacteria; Pseudomonadati; Pseudomonadota; Betaproteobacteria; Nitrosomonadales; Nitrosomonadaceae. The record is from RNAcentral.